UUUUCUUUAAAUAUAUUUAUUAGAAUUUAACCUGGCAUGUUGGGGGCUUACAGAGAAAAGCUGUAUUUUUCAUGGUUUACAUUUUGAUUUUUUUAAUGCAGAGCAGAUUGGACAGGAAAUGUUGGAAAACCUGAGCCAAGACAGAGAGAAGAUCCAGCGUUCUCGGGAAAGGCUUAGAGAAACAGAUGCAAACUUGGGGAAGAGCUCCAGGAUCCUAACCGGAAUGUUGCGAAGGGAUGAUUAUUUUGUAUUCGCAAACAAAUUUUGUCCUUCAGGCUGCAGUCCAGCAAACAUGAGCAACAAACCAAUCCCAAUCUGCUUACUUACCCACCCAGUUUCCAAAACACUUGUAUAAUUAGUUGAAGAGAUUGUAAAAUGGACUGGACCACCUUCCUAAAUCUGCUUUUUGAGUUGUACUUGAGAUUCUGAAAGUUUUGAAGUUUCAGGAAUGGGUUGCUCUAACUUCUGAAAUGUGUGUAUUUUACUCUCUGAAAGGCACUCAACUGAUUAGUCUUCAGUGUGACCCUGAACAUGUUUUUUUAAUGGGGAAGGAAGUCUGGACAGAGUUCUGCAUUUUAGUCCUUUCCUGAUGGACCAAAUACCUUUAGGCAGGGUUGGCCUGAGGUCAUAAAUGCCUCCCUGUGAACACUGAAAAAGGAACCUUCACACCCUUCACAAGAUCAUGAAAACUGUGGAAAAGCCCAGUUUCCAUUUAGGGUCCCUCUGGUUGCAAGAUCUGCAGGUGCGCUUGAACUUUGACUUCAUCUGCUGUGGUUUCAUGAAGUGUAUGGGCACCUGGUAUGGUUAUUAAACUGAGGUGUCUGAGAUCAUAACAAAGUAGAGGCUUUUCUACUCCCCUAAUAGAAAUGCUGUAACAUGCUGAAAAGAAAACACUCUAAUAGUGGUGAGUAUCUCCUGUCAACUAAUUUGAUAGUUCUCUAUCAGGUAAACCAUUUGUGAAUACAUCGAUCCUUUUUAUUUUUCACUGUUCUGUCUUAGCUAUUCCCAGGAUUUCUCUGAACCAGUUGAGCAAAAAUUGAUUUUUAUUUGUUCCACUGGCCUUGUGGAAAAUUAGCUUAUGAACUGGUUUUUAUAGGGAGACUCAAAGCACAGCACAGGUUGAAAAAUAAGCCUAUAGCAGUCAGAAUUGUUGUCUGAAAUGUCUUCAGACUGGAAGGCUGAAUUUAUUGCACAAAACAAGUCCUAGCAAUGUGGAGGUGCGCAGUCCAGCUCAUUAUCACUGGAAAAGGGGAAACCAAAAAGCACAGUAAAAAAUUAAAUUUUAAUAAUGCUAGUGAUAUUUUCUAAAUCCUUCCUGACAGAAAGAUUCUCAUUAUUUUUAUCUGUCUCAGAGU
This 1355-nucleotide long non-coding RNA is filed under the name Chrysemys picta bellii (western painted turtle). RNAcentral describes it as "lncRNA (ENSCPBG00000005081.1)". The record is from RNAcentral. Lineage: Eukaryota; Metazoa; Chordata; Testudines; Emydidae.